RNAcentral lists this small RNA (122 nucleotides) under Marmota monax (woodchuck). The record is from RNAcentral. Lineage: Eukaryota; Metazoa; Chordata; Mammalia; Rodentia; Sciuridae.
GCUGGGUGUGGUGGUGCAUACCUAUAAUCUCAGUGACUUGGAGGAUGAGGCAGGAAGAUUGCAAGUUUGAGGCCAGCCUUCAUAAUUUAGGGAGGCCCUGAGAAACUGAGACCCUGUCUCAA